AGGAAGAAAGCUCAAGUCGUUCCGGAUCGCAAACAAACAACGACAAAAGUAAAGCUACUUGAUGGAUGGCACUACUUGGUCCGAACACACUUAUGAUGCACGUUUCCGCGAAGAUCUUAGUUACGGGUCAAACUUUUGUUAAAUGAUGUCUUUUAUUAAAAACGGGUCUUUGGUAAGUAAUUAACCCAGUAAUUGUAGAAUGUUAAACUAGUAGUUAAAGACUAUGUAGUUGGUUAUGAACUUUUGGGUUGUGGAAAUCUUUUGUAAUCACUUCGUUAGCUUUAAUGAUGUAAAUACAAAAAUUUUACUUA
Long non-coding RNA from Helianthus annuus (common sunflower), 311 nucleotides. RefSeq lists it as uncharacterized. The transcript is spliced from 2 exons. Lineage: Eukaryota; Viridiplantae; Streptophyta; Magnoliopsida; Asterales; Asteraceae. The record is from RefSeq and is a predicted model, not a curated record.